RNAcentral lists this unclassified non-coding RNA (4510 nucleotides) under Lingula anatina. RNAcentral describes it as "protein RCC2, transcript variant X1". The record is from RNAcentral. Lineage: Eukaryota; Metazoa; Brachiopoda; Lingulata; Lingulida; Lingulidae.
GCAUCGCGGGAUUUUCGCAAGUGCUCUUGAGUUCAACUUGUGCUUUUGAUCUGGAAUAUUGAAAAACUAUCAACUUCAGCAAGACGCUGAUUAAAACUGACAUGCCACCCAAAAAGAGAAAAUCGGAAGGCGAAAAUGGAGCCGCCGCAAAGCGGGGUCGAAAGAAGAAGACGGCGGCACAAAAAGGCGACGAUUUUUCAGACUCGGACAAAGAGCCGGCUGAUAUAGACCACGAAGAUGACGAUCUCAACCUUUCGACGGACGGCGGAUAUUCCGAAGUCAGGAUCGAAGGCUCUCAGGUAAGCGGAGAACUGCUGUUUUGUGGCGGAACAAACUGGGACCUCAUUGGACGCAACCAAGUUCCCAAAGGAGUCAAGAAUCUUGGUGGACCAAACUUAUGGGGACCUCACAGGAUAGAAGGCUGGUCUGAUAUCAAGGUCCGGACUGUUGCAUCAGGGUGCACGGCUUGCCACAGUAUCAUUAUAACUACAGAAGGAAAAGCCUACAGCUUUGGUCGCAAUGACAAAGGUCAGCUAGGUCAUGGCGACACAAAGAGAAGAGACCUCCCCACACUCAUCGAAUUCCUCAAGGACUUUAACAUAGUGGAUGCAGCUCUAGGAAAGAACCAUAGUUUAUGUCUCUCUGACAGGGGGACUGUGUUUGCCUUUGGAGAGAAUAAAAUGGGCCAACUUGGGCUGAAUAAUCAGACACAGUGCGUGCCAACACCAACAAGGAUUAAAUACAAAGGUCCCCCAAUUCGCAGAGUGGCGUGUGGUGGAGAGUUCAGCAUGAUAGCAGACAUUAGGGGGAAUCUGUACUCAUUUGGGAGCCCAGAGUGUGGACAGCUUGGCCAUAACACAGAUGGUCAGUAUUUCGUAACCAGCAGUAAACUGGCCUACGCCUGUGAGAUAAGGCCACGAAAGGUUGCCGUGUUCAUUGAGAAGUCACGGGAGGGCGUACAACCAGUAAAUGAUGUAGAUGUACAGGACAUUGCAUGUGGGAUCAACCAUACUGUUAUUUUGGAUUCCAAGAACCGUGUAUUUUCUUGGGGGUUUGGCGGCUAUGGGCGUCUUGGUCACACAGAGCCAAAGGACGAGUUGGUCCCCAGGUUGAUCAAAUUCUUUGAUGGACCAAAGCGAGGUGCAAAGGUCAUUGCUGCAGGGACUUGUUAUUCUAUGGCAAUCAGUGAACUAGGACAGCUAUACCUGUGGGGGCAGACCAAGUCCACGGGGGAAGUGGCCAUGUACCCCAAACCUGUCAAUGACCUUCAGGGCUGGAAUGUCCGCAGUAUAGGCUGCAGUAACAGGAGCAUUGUUGUGGCGGCAGACGACAGUGUUAUAAGCUGGGGACCCAGUCCAACCUAUGGCGAAUUGGGUUAUGGUGAAGACAAGCCAAAGUCCUCCACUCAGCCACAAGAGGUGAAGAAACUGACAGGCAUCUUCAUAGAAAAGGUAUCCUGUGGAUACGGACACACGCUUAUGAUUGCCAAAAAUGACACAGAAGAAGCAAGAGAACAACUCAAGAAACUGCCCCAGGUUGCUUUUACCAACGAGCUGUCGUAGAUUAGGUGCAGUAAGACUGACAAGACUGUUAGAAUAGAAUUCAGCCACUUUCUGAAGUGGGCCUAAUACUUUUACAUGUUAGAGGUAAUAUUAUUUAGUAGUUGGAUAAUGAUGAAAUAGUUUUUUAUGUCAUUUUUUUUUUCACUCUGAUAUCAUAUAUCAGAGUAAUCUGAGGAAUACAUCAGAAAAAUUUGUAAAAAUUAGACCAUUUUAUCGUAUUAUCACAAAUAUAUUCAGCCAGUGUAUAUAUUGUAGGUGAAAUUACAACCAAGAAAUGCUGACUCACAGCCAUUUCUACACCAAUUGUCAGGGAUAAAAAAAUGUACCAUGAAGACUCGUAGCUUUGCACUUUAUUGUUGAUAUAUGAAAUAACGCCAUAAGAUUUUUAGGUCUUCAUUUUCUAUCUGUAAUUAUGUUGAAUAUUACCUAACAUCUUAUCUAGUCUUCGUAUCACUUUAACAGUGGCAGGUACACCUUCUGUAACAAUGCAAUAUCUGUUAACAAAUGUUUAGCAAUUGUUUAGGGACAGACAGUUAAUCUUUUUCAACAUCUGAUGUGCCUUAUUUGUGUAAAACUACUUGACAUUAAGAAAUCCAGCAAAGAAAAACCAGUACAAGAUAACUUAUGAAAAAUUGGCCAAUAAUAUCUUUUUUUAAAGUUAAGGCUAAGAUUAACCCCACAAUGGACUUCAUAAUGUUAAAAGGAAAAUGGCAUCUUUGAUUUCAAGUUCUUUGGAUAACAGGAAAUUUGCAUUCUACUAGCUUCAGCAUCAGCUGCAGGGAUGUUACAGGAGAUCCUUAUAAAACUUUGAAAUGGGCAUUCAGUCACAUAGUUUACAUAAACCAGUUUCUAUUUCAUAUGGACAGAUUUGUUGAAAUGACCAGAUUGGAAUCCUUUCCUCCCCCACCCCCCAAAAAAUAAAUAAAUAAAUAAUAAUUGCAAGGGAUCUCGUGUAGAGGAAUGGUGCUGACAUAUUCUCAUAUCACCUACCUCCCAUUUAAAAAAUAUAUAUAUAUAUGAUGUAGAUAUAUAAAAUGAAAGACCGAGCGAGAAAAUAGUCAAUUAAAAAGAAUGUAUAACAAUAAUAAAGAAAAUAAAAUAAAAGUCAGCACUUUGUAAAAGCAUGAAAUGUACAAAACGGUUUCUUUUGUACGUUUAGAUAACUGUACAGUAAAUGAUAAAAAUGUAAAAAUAGCAAUGGGAAAAUUAAUUUAAUAUGUGAGUUUAGAUGGCUUAUAGUUAGUCAACUGCUUCUUAUAUUAAUAUUACUGCUUAGAUUACAUACAUAUAUGAUCAAAUUUCAAUAUGGCAACUUUUACCAUUGGUGAAAAAUGCAUGUUCAGGAAAUUUAGUAAUUACUGAAUCAGCAUUUUUACUGAAAUUUUUUUUUUUGAUGAAAUUAAUUGUAGCCCUUCAGACCCUGAAUUUUUUCUACCUUUAAGAAUGACUGUUCAGUACAUGAGAUGGCUUGACCACAACAAGUACUCCCUUUCUUUUAUUGCCAGGGCAGUUGGUUGGCACCUCAGGUACACUAUAUACUAACAUGUCUUGGCAAUAUUGUUUAAGAAAGGUCAUUUGUUAACAGAAAUCAUCCGAGUUAGCCUAAAAAGGACUGUUGGCACUGUGUAAUUAUAUAAUGCAUGCAAGAACAGACAAAUGCGAGUCUGUGUGAGGUGGGGGCUUCUUUUUACGCAAAAAAGGGUGAAUUCUACAUUGAGCAUGGCUGAUAAAGUAAUACAAAGCUGAUAGGCAAAAUGUGGUGGUUUCACUCUUGUUGUGCAGUACAGUGUAACUAGUAUGUAAACAACCAGGGCUCUGUUACUCGAAAGCAUCGUAAUUGCGACUGGGCGCAAGAGUCUCUAUUCCAUAACUUGGCAUUUACUCGCUCCAUGUAAUAGCCUUGAAAUGAAAGGUGAUAUCGCUAUUGCAAUUCGCUUUCGAGUUACGGAGCCCAGAGUAAUAUCGGUUGGCAAAUUCAAAUCAUUUCAUGUGGCACCACAUUUGCCAGCCUGUCAGUAUUUUACCACAAACUUCACCUAAUUUUACAUCGAGUCAACAGAUUUUGGCUGUCUGUGUUGAUUCACAUUGCAUUUAUUCGAUAUAACUUUCAUUAAAAAAUGACAAAGAUCCCACAUUUUACAAAAUGCUGCCAACUUUUUAAAAAAUAUUUAGUUACUUAAAAAGAUGUACUGUUUGACAUAAACCGGACUGACCAUUAAUGAUGUCUUGAUCAGGAAUUUCUUGCUCAUUUUUUGAAGUGAAAAUUUUCAUGAAUUAUUUGGAGUAAUAACCAUUUCCUUUUAUUAUAAUUUCACUAUUGUAUACUUAUUUUGAAAUUUUUGAUUAGAUUACUGUCACUGAAUCAGCUAAAUGUUUCUUUAAACUUUGUAUAGUUGUAACUUGUUUUGUGUUAAAAUGAUACUUAGAUGGAGUACGUUGUAAAAUGUUGAACUUUGUAAGAAGAGAAAAUCACUCACAGCCAGUAUUUUGGCUUUGAAUGCAACCAAACAGGGUCAGGUUUUGCCACUGAAUGUGGAUAAUGCACCAGACUAUUACCUCAAGAUAUAGCUGAAUUCAGGUGUAAUCGCCAGCUGAGUUUAAUUGAUUACAAACAAAAUGUGUACACCAAAGAAUUCUCAGUUCUUUUUCUAACGAGUCUUUAGUCAUUGUGAAAGAAACCUUUGUAUGAGGAACUUGUAAUGAAGUAUUGAUAAACAUUCUUUUGUUGUAUUAAUUCUUUGCAGUGAUCAAAUUUUAUGGAGAUUUGCAACCUUUAUGAUUUUCAUAGGACAAAAUACACUAGUGUAACUGGGAUUUUGCUGAUGUGGAAGGGGGGGGGCACUAUUUGUUUACCUUUCUUUGCUUGGGAAAUUAAUAAAUAAUGGUUGAAGACGACAACUUUACUAUUAGGUUUGGCCGAGUGGGUGAGUUCCUUCAAAGCAUUGGGG